CAUAGAGUCGAACGGCAGCACGGGAGCAAUCCUGGUGGCGAGUGGCGAACGGGUGAGAAAGAUAUCGGAACGUGCCCAGUCGUGGGGGAUAACGUAGCGAAAGCUACGCUAAUACCGCAUACGAUCUACGGAUGAAAGCGGGGGAUCGCAAGACCUCGCGCGAUUGGAGCGGCCGAUAUCAGAUUAGCUAGUUGGUGAGGUAAAGGCUCACCAAGGCGACGAUCUGUAGCUGGUCUGAGAGGACGACCAGCCACACUGGAACUGAGACACGGUCCAGACUCCUACGGGAGGCAGCAGUGGGGAAUUUUGGACAAUGGGCGCAAGCCUGAUCCAGCAAUGCCGCGUGCAGGAUGAAGGCCUUCGGGUUGUAAACUGCUUUUGUACGGACGAAACGGUCUUCUCUAAUACAGGAGGCUAAUGACGGUACCGAAGAAUAAGCACCGGCUAACUACGUGCCAGCAGCCGCGGUAAUACGUAGGGUGCGAGCGUUAAUCGGAAUUACUGGGCGUAAAGCGUGCGCAGGCGGUUAUGUAAGACAGAUGUGAAAUCCCCGGGCUCAACCUGGGACCUGCAUUUGUGACUGCAUAGCUAGAGUACGGUAGAGGGGGAUGGAAUUCCGCGUGUAGCAGUGAAAUGCGUAGAUAUGCGGAGGAACACCGAUGGCGAAGGCAAUCCCCUGGACCUGUACUGACGCUCAUGCACGAAAGCGUGGGGAGCAAACAGGAUUAGAUACCCU
This 736-nucleotide ribosomal RNA is filed under the name uncultured bacterium. RNAcentral describes it as "bacterial SSU rRNA". It matches the Rfam family "Bacterial small subunit ribosomal RNA", at positions 58 to 788 of the family's 1533-position model. The record is from RNAcentral.